This 686-nucleotide ribosomal RNA is filed under the name Photobacterium angustum. Its description in RNAcentral is "bacterial LSU rRNA". It matches the Rfam family "Bacterial large subunit ribosomal RNA", at positions 944 to 1631 of the family's 2925-position model. The record is from RNAcentral. Lineage: Bacteria; Pseudomonadati; Pseudomonadota; Gammaproteobacteria; Vibrionales; Vibrionaceae.
CCUUUGCAAACUCCGAAUACCAGUAAGUACUAUCCGGGAGACACACGGCGGGUGCUAACGUCCGUCGUGAAGAGGGAAACAACCCAGACCGCCAGCUAAGGUCCCAAAGUUAUAGCUAAGUGGGAAACGAUGUGGGAAGGCUCAGACAGCCAGGAUGUUGGCUUAGAAGCAGCCAUCAUUUAAAGAAAGCGUAAUAGCUCACUGGUCGAGUCGGCCUGCGCGGAAGAUUUAACGGGGCUAAGCUAUACACCGAAGCUGCGGCAAUGAAGUUUUACUUCAUUGGGUAGGGGAGCGUUCUGUAAGCCGUUGAAGGUGAAUCGUAAGGUUUGCUGGAGGUAUCAGAAGUGCGAAUGCUGACAUGAGUAACGAUAAAGGGAGUGAAAAACUCCCUCGCCGGAAGAUCAAGGGUUCCUGUCCAACGUUAAUCGGGGCAGGGUAAGUCGACCCCUAAGGCGAGGCCGAAAGGCGUAGUCGAUGGGAAACGGGUUAAUAUUCCCGUACUUCUUAUAAUUGCGAUGGAGGGACGGAGAAGGCUAGGUGAGCCUGGCGACGGUUGUCCAGGUCCAAGUAUGUAGGCUGAUGGUUUAGGCAAAUCCGGACCAUCUUAAGGCUGAGAUACGAUGUCGAGUCACUACGGUGACGAAGUCAUUGAUGCCAUGCUUCCGGGAAAAGCUUCUAAGCUUCAG